RNAcentral lists this ribosomal RNA (253 nucleotides) under uncultured bacterium. Its description in RNAcentral is "partial 16S ribosomal RNA". It matches the Rfam family "Bacterial small subunit ribosomal RNA", at positions 524 to 776 of the family's 1533-position model. The record is from RNAcentral.
UACAGAGGUCUCAAGCGUUGUUCGGAUUCAUUGGGCGUAGAGGGUGCGUAGGCGGCGCGGUAAGUCGGGUGUGAAAUCUCGGAGCUUAACUCCGAAACUGCAUUUGAUACUGCCGUGCUUGAGGACUGGAGAGGAGACUGGAAUUUACGGUGUAGCGGUGAAAUGCGUAGAUAUCGUAAGGAAGACCAGUGGCGAAGGCGGGUCUCUGGACAGUUCCUGACGCUGAGGCACGAAGGCCAGGGGAGCAAACGGG